ACGGUACAACGAGUCGCAAGCUCGCGAGAGUAAGCUAAUCUCUUAAAGCCGUUCUCAGUUCGGACUGUAGGCUGCAACUCGCCUACACGAAGUCGGAAUCGCUAGUAAUCGCGGAUCAGCAUGCCGCGGCGAAUACGUUCCCGGGCCUUGUACACACCGCCCGUCACACCAUGGGAGUUUGUAACGCCCAAAGUCGGUGGCCUAACCUUUAUGGAGGGAGCCGCCUAAGGCGGGACAGAUGACUGGGGUGAAGUCGUAACAAGGUACC
RNAcentral lists this ribosomal RNA (268 nucleotides) under uncultured bacterium. RNAcentral's name for it is "partial 16S ribosomal RNA". It matches the Rfam family "Bacterial small subunit ribosomal RNA", at positions 1234 to 1500 of the family's 1533-position model. The record is from RNAcentral.